This 7432-nucleotide long non-coding RNA is filed under the name Lactuca sativa (garden lettuce). Its description in RNAcentral is "long non-coding RNA (LSAT_LNC001273)". The record is from RNAcentral. Lineage: Eukaryota; Viridiplantae; Streptophyta; Magnoliopsida; Asterales; Asteraceae.
AUAGGCUCUACAAUCCUUUCUAUGAGUACUAAAUGGAUACAAGUUAUAUAAGACUCAGAGUAAAUAAACAAUCGACUAUGCGCAUCUACCCUAAGGCGGAAAACACACCUCCCAUUGUUUGUUUGAUCAUAGUUGUAUAUAACCCUGGUGUAUACACUUGUUACUCAUGGAGUUAAUUGUAAUAGUUCCUUUAUAUUUAAUAAAAAGAUUCUUUAAGAAAACCCUUAUUUAUUAUAAUAAAAUGGUGACCACAGUGAUUACUUCUAUAAUCACUUAGUUUAUACUGGAUAUAUAUAAUCUAAUCUCGAAUAGAUAGUUAAUUGUAUGAAUCUGCCCUAAGCCCACAACCAAACAAGGAACAGGAAGAAAGGCGGAAAGCACACAUCCAACUACCUAUUGGGUAUUAAUGAUAUGUAACCAUGAUGUAUAAAUGAAGGUAUCAUAGAGUUAAUCACCAAAGUUCCUUUAAAUUUAUACUGGUUUAAUAAAAUGGAUUAAACCUUGUAUUGGGAAGUUCUAAUUUUUGAAUACCAAAAGUUCUUAUUUGAAAUGUAUAUUUUUGUACUAGAAAACUGUGUAUCGAAUUAGUGUCCUAUGACUUGACCCAUACUUGGUACCCUUAUGAUGACUUAACAUAUACGAAGCAUAUAUGUAUCUAGAAUCAAAUAGAUAAUAGACUGGGUGAAUCCGUUCCAAGACCACAACCAAACAAGGAACAGGAAGUGAAGCGGAGAACACACAUCCUAUUAUUUGUAGGAUCCUAUUGAUAUGUAGAUCCUUUGAUGUAUACAUUAAGGAAUCAUAAGGUUAGCAUUAUGGUCACAUUCUACUAAAAGUAAUCUUCUACCAAGGCAUCAAAUGUGAUGUAUGAGUAUAAAAAUGUAAGUUUUUCCCUAGUUUAUAACUAUCUUAACUCAAAAUAGUUUGUAUUUGACUUUCAAGUGUAAAAAUGAAAGUUUUUCACAUUCAUGUUCUAGUAUGUAUGUAUUAGUGUAGUGUAUGUCCUCCCUGACUCUCGGCAUAGUAUGUUCUUUAGUAUAGUAUUUAGUGUGUGUGAAUAGUAUGUACUAGUGUAGUGUAUGUCCUCCCUGAUUCUCAGCAUAGUAUGUACUAGUGUAGUGUAUGUCCUCCCUGACUCUCAGUAUAGUAUGUAUUGACUCAUGUAUGAACUGACUCUUGUAUGUUUAAUAGUAUUAGAAAUAAUGAAUAGUAUGUUCCUAAACUAUACCUAUUAUAGUUUACUAAUGUUCUACUUAAACUAGAUAUUGAAAAGACUCAUUUAUCAACUAGGUUAUGCUUGUACUUUAAAAAUGGAGUUUUGUCAAACUAUAAAGCAACAUAACUUAAAAAGAGUAUUGAAAUGUUUUGAUCACUCAUAAAGGACAUAAGCAAUCCUUUGAAAGAUGUAUAUAACAAACAUUUUACACAAUUAUAAUUGUGUUCAACUUGUAUUCCCCCUUAACGCAUUUAAAACAGUUAAAAGAUUCAUUACGGGUAUGAACUCACCUGAUGUGGGUGUUUCAACAAAUACACGCGUAAGGAUAAGAAGUUCCAUAAAUGAAGUCCCGAGACAAAAUAAGUCCUAAAUGACAUAUAAUGGUAUGAAUAUAGUGUUUAUAAGUAACUAUAUGAAAGGAAACACCUUUCGGGACUAGGAAUCACUUUAACCCAGUUGGAAUCACAUGUGAUUGGACUAAGGAAGGUGGAAUGACUCUAACAUGAGUUUAAUACCAUGGGCUUACCGCCCAAAGGAGUUUACAGCCACAAACUCAUUGUCAAAGACGUAUAUGAGUGUGCUUUAAGGCUAGGGAAGCUUGAGGGACAUUUGCUCUACACAAGGAUGAGAAAGGUAAGCCAAUGGAGAGUGUUGAGGUGUUUACGGCCCAAGGAGUUUACUCCUGGCCUUAAACUCUCUAAAUGGUCACAUUUAGGUUCUUAAAGGUAAGGAGUCUCAAGGGUUCAAGUGUUCUAAGGUUUAGCAAGAGUCUAGAUGUGUUUAAGGUCCAAGACUUGACCUUAAUUGGAGUUUACGGCCAAAGGUGUUUAAUCUUGGGCCGUAAACUCUCUAAAUGAUGAGUUUGGUGAUGGUUCCAGGUCUUACAAGGCACAUGGAAAUGAUCUAGCCUCAAAUCCAAUCCUUAGGAAGCGUUUAGGGCUCAAAUGGCACCUUUAUAGGGGUUUACGGCCAUGGGAGAUGGCUUGGCCGUAAACUCCUUUUGGUAUUGUGUUUUUGAUGUUUUUAAGUCUCUAAGCAUGAGUCUUAACUAGAUAUCAAGUGUAGGGAAGAGGAGUUACGAUAUAGAGGCUUGAAAUGGUUGAUUUUGGCCAAGAACACUAGUGUGUGUUCUUGGUGUUUUUUGAAGAUCUAAGAAAACAUGAUUUCCAUGGAUGAAUCAUGAGGAUGAAGCUAGUUAAGAAGGACUAACAACAAACUAGAGUAAGAACACUUACACUUUUGAAGAACUAGGAUGAAAAGCUGGAUGAUACUUGAGAGAGAACUCAAGUGUUCUUGAAGUGGAAAUGAACUAAUGAAGGAGGUUGAAGAAUAUGAGCCUAUAUAGGGGAGUUUACGGCCCUCCUUGAUUUUACGGCUGUAAACUCAAGUCCGUGAGGCUGUGAACUCUCCUUGAUGAGGUUAAGGCUGGAUUAGUUCUACAGUGUCUCUAGCAGGUACUUCCUAACAAUUAUUCCUUAAGUGUACUAGGUUCAAUCUCCUUAGAUUGACUUUCAACAACGUUAGAACUCAUUACAAAUUAGUCUGACACUCAGUUGAGUUGACUGACUGGGCUUUCAAAGCAAAAAAUUUCAGGUUGUCACAUCACCCCCCCCAUUAGAUGGAAUUUCAUCCCGAAAUUAGCUUUCUUACGGUACUAUUAGGGUUGCGCUCCUCUGAUUUGCAGAAUACUCACUCGUAGACCUGGCAAUUUUGCCCUAGUGUUCAUAAUAGGAUUCAUACUUGAUCCAUCUGUCAUUACUUCGUGUAUACAAGUCAUAUAUAAUUAGGAUUAGUAAGAUGGUCGGAUGUGCGACUCUGCCCCAGGUCCACAACCAAACAAGGAACAUGAGAUAGGGCGGAAACACACAUACUAGAUCUGCGUAAUCAUAAUCAUAUACCACCCUCUCAUAUACACUAAAUAGUGAUAGGUGGGCUGUCUUUGUCCUUAGCCUUUGUGCUCAAACUUGGUCUGUUGGACAAGUGGUAUUUCGUGACGGUCUGCGGACAUAUGACGACAAGGCUUCGGAGGACAAAGUACCCUUCGCACGAAUACUUCGGGGUUUAGAAUACAAAAGAUAAAACUGGCGUUCAGGUCGGACUGUCGAUACGAAUGACGAAGGUUCCGAGAAUUUGACGGUCGUUGCGAUAGAAACAUAUGAACUUAGUAUGGUGAGGACCACGCCAACUCAUGACGAAUGUUAGUAAUGGACUCUUUACUGAACAAAGUUUUGGGCGAUUAUGAAAGAAACGUCUGUUAUAUGAUGAUGUAUCCCUAGUGUGUUCAACAAUGUACUCCUAGUGUGUUCGACAAUGUAUUCCUCGUGUUCGAAAAUGUACUCUUUUGUAAAUGUCCUAGUGCUUUCUGUUUUCCCUAGAUGUUAACACUCCUAUGUAUCAUACCGCUAUGCACACAUACAUACUAAUGAAAGUGCUAUGAUAACUGGUGAUGAUACUUAAUAUCAUGAUCCUCCUCGGUACCACUACGAUCGCCUGUCAUAUACAAGUUAUGAAUAUUUAAGAUUAACAAGACAGUCAAUUGUGUAACCCUGCCUCAAUCCAUGACCAAAUAAGGAACAAGAAUUAAGGCGGAAAUACUCACUCUAUAUCUGCAACAUCUGAGUUAUUCACAACCCUGAUGUAUAUGCUUAAGCCAUCAUAGCUGCUCUAAACGGAUCUUUUAGUUCUCUUGAAUACUGCGAUCUACUUCCAUAUGUGAGUUAUUAUAUUUACUUUUAAGUGUUUUCCACAAGUUUUAAUAUUAGAUAUAAAUAUAGAUUUAUUUUAUUUUUAAGCAAUUACUAAGUCGAAAACGUACCACCGCUAGGAGGCGACUCCGGGGUUGAUUCUCCUGUGGUGAUCAUCAGAAUGCGUCUGUCUGCGCCUAAGUUCUUUGUUACCGGGCAGUCCCUCUGAUAGUGUCCAGUCUCACCACAGCCAUAACAAGAUUGGUUUUCUUCAGCUCCUGGGACUUGGGAGAUCGGUUGAGCCGGUGCCCUGCAUAAACGGACGGUGUGUCCCCUUCUGUGGCAGUUCAGACACUGCAUUUCCCGGCAUACUCCGAUGUGGUGAUAGUUGCACUUUCCAUACUUUGGGAGGGUUCCAGCAUACCUACUGGCAGGUGCUGAAGCAGCAGGCGUUGUAGCGGCAUAUAUCGUACUCGCUUGUUGCUCUUGUGGGGGUUCAUGUGUUGUUCGCUUCUUCUUCCUCUUGUUCCCCGACUUCUGAUUAUAGUCCUUUCCCUUUGAUGGCUCGGGAACGAGGACUUCUACACCAUGACGGGCUCCAUGGUCAAUGAUUCAUUGGGCCAGGAAUUUGGUGCUAUCAAAUGUGGCUGGGUUAGAAGACAGUUCAUUUCCUUGGGUCGGGGCAGUCAGAACCCAGAUGUACCUUUCUAUCUUCUUGCUCUUCCGGGGUAACCAUCCCGGGGCAUAAUGCUGCAAGGUCCCUAAACCUGUCAGUGUAGGUCACUAUGUCUGAGUCGACCAUGGUGAGCUCCCAUAGUUCUUCUUCCAGUUUCUGAACUUCACCCCUCCGGCAGUACUCUUCCAGCAUCAACUCUUUUAGGUUUUCCCAACCUAUUGAGUUAGCCACCAAUAGGGUCAGUGACUUAACAUGGUUGUUCCACCAUGUUAGCACUCUGUUGGAAAAGGUGCAGGCAGAAAACUUCACUUUGCUCCCUUCUAGGCACGAACAGAUUUCGAAGACCGAAUCUGUUUUCUCGAACCAUCGCAUCAAAGCGAUAACUCCACCAUUUCCAUUAAAGGAAAUGGGUUUGUAGUUUAUGAAGUCCUUGUAGGAGCACUCUCUCAAGCACACAGGGACCUCAUUUGUAGUAGCAUGAACAGGUGUUCCACCUCCGCUGGAACUGGUAGGAUGAUAUUGAGCCAUGGUUGUUGCCACAGCGACAGCUACUGCCGCAUUUAGAGUUGCCGCAUCGAUUUGUGGAGGGGGUGUUGGAGUUAUUUGAAUAGUGCGUCUGAUCGAUCUUCGAGGAGGCAUCUUUUNAUAGCAAAACAACUUUUUCCCAAUUGAAACCUUUUGUUUCCUAUAAUCAACAUUGCUAACUUGCAACACUUCNAGAAUACAAAGAUGAGACGGAAUAAGUCUAGAGCAAUGGACACAAGCUGAUAGCUAAAAAGACUAGGUUAUCCUAGUUCUAGGUGUAUCGGGUCCUGACUUCCUUAGGGUUCUGGAAACAAUUCAUAAAAGAGUUUAUACCGAAUAAACUUCAUGAAUAGAAAUGAAUAUCCUCGAAUGAGUAUCUGUUACCUGAAUAACUGUUACCAGUUGCAUGUAAAGAAAAUAAUCCUAACACAUAAUGUGAGCAGUGUUUCCACUAACUCAUUAAGUCAACUAAGACUAUUGUUUGUUAGUGUGACACAUAAGAAGUUAUUGUUAGUUCGGUUGAUCCUUCUUUAAAACUUCUCAUGAACUUGCUUUUGUUCCUCCUUGACUCUUCUGUUGUCUACUAUGAGGAAGUGGUUACAUCUAUCUGGGUUUGUCAUGCGAGAAUGAAUGUGACUAGAGAAUCUAUGAGAUUUAAGGAAAUUUUAUGGGGUGAUCCUUACAGAGUCCUUCUAUAAUUGUCCAAUGUAUACAAGUUGUAUAUAAUUCAACAUUAAAUAGGCCUUCGAAUAGGUGAUCCUACUCCAAAACCAUAACUAAAUAAGAAAUGGGUGGUGAAGCAUAGAUCACAAAUUCUAAGUCUAUAAGAUCUCAAUUAUAUAAAUCCUUAAGAGUACACAUUGCAAGAUUAUAGACCUAUCCAUAAGGGUCUUUUAUGUUAUCAUGUAAGUUGUUUAUAUAGUGCCUAAAAUACUCCUAUAGUACUCUAUCUCUAUGUACUUGAUCAAGAAUUCUCUUGACUGGANAUAAACCUCAAGUCGUGUGCUAGUGAUAAACUAUAGGUUUUUUCCUUUUGAUUAGAUCUAGAAGCUUUUUUCAAGAUCUUUAAGACUCUCACUGCCCUCNACUGUUGCAACACCACAUCGCUCCCAAACACAUGUCGGUCACAUCUCGAAUGAAUGUAGUUGAUCAGGCUAUAUUGAUCCUAGAUAUGAUUACAUAACUGUUCAAGUUUGACGAUAGUGUUCAACCUUUAAAUACUUUAGUUCUAUUCUUCUUGUGAUACUUGGUCUACAUGUAUAAGCAAGUAGGUAUAUUUUUAUAAUUUAUCAUUAUACUCUUAAAAUAUAUCAUUAUCCAGAGCACUUAAGCCCCCAUUGUAUUUAUAGUUGUAUAUCUUUUAUCAGUUAAUAUACUUAGUUCACUAUAAACAAUGCUCUAAUACCAAUCUGUCUNAUGAUUCCUCUUCUUAGCCAUAAGAAUGCACUAAGAUGUCCUUAGAUAUCACACCCCAAAAAUGGAACAGCGGAAACAUUCGGGGGUGGAGGACAUCAUGUUUAUUAUCACAAGACAUGCGUCAUAGUAAGCAAGUAAUGAACAACCAUUUAAUUAUAAAGGAAGUGUUUACAAUGUGUGUGUUCACAAAACAUAGAAUACAUAAGCAAAUAACAAAACAAGACUUGAAGCUGCUAUGCUCCAUCUUCUGAAUUCCAAGCACGAGUACCUGUCUACUAGUCUCCUGAGAAUACAAGUUAUUUGAAAGAGUUUAUUAACAAUUAAGCUGGUGAGUUCAUAAGAUUUUAGUGAUGUAAGUAAGUUGUAGAAAUUUGUUGAAAAAUGUAGUAAGUUGUAAGUUAUGUUUAGAAAAGUUCGCCCGUUCCUCCAGAAAAUCCUAUAUUUCCUACUUUAAUAAAAGGUAAGUAAAAUAGGCUCUAUAAUCCUUUCUAUGAGUACUAAAUGGAUACAAGUUAUAUAAGACUCAGAGUAAAUAAACAAUCGACUAUGCGCAUCUACCCUAAGGCGGAAAACACACCUCCCAUUGUUUGUUUGAUCAUAGUUGUAAAUAACCCUGGUGUAUACACUUGUUACUCAUGGAGUUAAUUGUAAUAGUUCCUUUAUAUUUAAUAAAAAGAUUCUUUAAGAAAACCCUUAUUUAUUAUAAUAAAAUGGUGACCACAGUGAUUACUUCUAUAAUCACUUAGUUUAUAUCGGAUAUAUAUAAUCUAAUCUCGAAUAGAUAGUUAAUUGUAUGAAUCUGCCCUAAGCCCACAACCAAACAAGGAACAGGAAGAAAUGUGGAAAGCACACAUCCAACUACCUAUUGGGUAUUAAUGAUAUGUAACCAUGAUGUAUAAACGAAGGUAUCAUAGA